Non-coding RNA from Pelobates cultripes (western spadefoot toad), 607 nucleotides. NCBI's taxonomy places the organism in Eukaryota, Metazoa, Chordata, Amphibia, Anura, Pelobatidae. The record is from the annotation of a GenBank genome assembly.
CCAGCCUCUAGUGGCUGUCUCAUUGACAGCCGCUAGAGGCGCUGCCGCGCUUCUCACUGUGAUUUUCACAGUGAGAAGAAGCCAGCGUCCAUAAGAAAGCAUUGAGAAUGCUUUCCUAUGGACUGGCUGAAUGCGCGCGCGGCUCUUGCCGCGCAUGCGUAUUCAGCCGGUGACGUCCAAACCACAGUUAUGAAUAUAAAUUGCUUAAAAUUUUAAAUGAUGCAAAUGAACAAAACCUUUACAGAUACAUUAGGGGGAGAAGUUUUAGAUAAAUAUGCAGUAAGUGUUUAAAGUAGAGGCAGGGAAGCAGAAAUGAGCUUUGUCACAUCAAAGUCAAAUACUCUGCUUAUGUAUAUUUGUAGAGAAUUGAUAACAUUUUGGAGACCACAGCUUCCCAAAAGUGCCACUAUAAUGUAAAACACAUUGUCUUUAUGUUGGGAUAAUUACCACAUAUAAUAGGUAAUACUUGUUUAGCACCAUAGAGGGGUUUGAGGUCUGAAGUGUGCUCAGAACUACUCCAAGCUGCUAGAAUGCAGACAUGAUGUUUCACUUACAAAGGCGGCUGUACAGAGUUAGAAAAGGGAAAAAUUAAAGUCCUUCUGCAAAG